This 85-nucleotide transfer RNA is filed under the name Felis catus (domestic cat). It matches the Rfam family "tRNA". From Rfam's summary of the family: Transfer RNA (tRNA) molecules are approximately 80 nucleotides in length. Their secondary structure includes four short double-helical elements and three loops (D, anti-codon, and T loops). RNAcentral also lists the same sequence under 3 other names. Lineage: Eukaryota; Metazoa; Chordata; Mammalia; Carnivora; Felidae. The record is from Rfam by way of RNAcentral.
GCCUGGGUGGCUCAGUCAGUUGAGCAACUGACUUCAGCUCAGGUCAUGAUCUCAUGGUUUGUGGGUUCAAGCCCCGCAUCAGGCU